UGUGUGAAUGGAAAACAUGAACACAUCUGGCUGGACUCGUUGAAACGAGGGGUGUUGGGGCAGAGAAGCUGGGGAGGGCCUGCCUUUACCACAGAAGAUGUUAAGGAGAAGGCUUUUGUUGCUCUCAAGGAAAAUUAGAAUUUCAGAUGGUGACUGGAGUGAUUCAACCAUCUCAACUUUUUUAUUUUCUCUUCAAAAGACAUUGUUCGGGAACCCCAAAUAUUUGGCUGGAAUCUUCCGGUGAUGACCAGCUUUCUUCCAGGAGGCUACAAGAGAGGCCAGAUUUUUGGUAACCUGUUGACCAUGCUGAAGUUUAUGUGAGCCCUGGGCUCCCAGAGAGCUAUGAUGAGAAACAAAUUGCAGAGGACCUUCCUGCCUUCAUAGAUUCAGCAUUCCCCACCCCCUCUUGCCCCCACCCCUAUAGGACUUGUCAUCUACUCUCCUCCCCACUCUCUUGCCUCUGUAAAGCCCCAGGCCCUCCUUCCUUUCCUCUGAGAUGUUCCUCUGUGUUCAUGAAUGUCCUCCCUAUUGCAACAGCCUGAAUAAAGUCGUCUCCUCCGGUGCAUUUUUUU
Molecule: long non-coding RNA, 572 nt
Organism: Herpailurus yagouaroundi (jaguarundi)
Lineage: Eukaryota; Metazoa; Chordata; Mammalia; Carnivora; Felidae
Exons: 2
Source: RefSeq, a predicted model, not a curated record